Molecule: long non-coding RNA, 1430 nt
Organism: Myzus persicae (green peach aphid)
Lineage: Eukaryota; Metazoa; Arthropoda; Insecta; Hemiptera; Aphididae
Exons: 2
Source: RefSeq, a predicted model, not a curated record
UAAUAUAGACAGUGUUGUACAUCAAUCAAAAGUAUUUUUAAACAUUUGAUUUUUAUUCGCAAAAUAGGUCGGUAAUAAUAUGUAAUAUUAUUGGCGCACUGCCCGCUUAAUACUCUGCUGCCCGAGACUAAACAGCAUUGCACUUCAGAGCUGGUUUCAAGUGGGUGCUGUUGCUGUAGUCCGUUUAUUGCAAAGAAAAUAAUUAACAUGACCGACGAAAACUGACUUUUCUAUAGGACCCUGUUUGGCGUUUGCCUUUAAUGUCAGUCAAAUACGGACGGGACGAUUGUUGGAGGAAAAACGGCUAUUUUUAAAAUUUUGAGGAAAUAUUAUAUUGUGUAGGUGGAUACUGGGAAAUUAUUUUCUCAAUAAUAAUUAAUAAAAUAUACUUUUUAUACUAUUUACAUUAUCCAAAUAGUUUUUUAGUUGGCAUAAAUAGAUGCCUGGGCGUGCAUAAUAAUGUGUACGUUAGUGGUGUGAGAAGGAACAUAAUAUAAAUUAUUAUUAUUUACUUAUAUAUGUAUUUUCAAGUGCAAGCUCUUACUGUUUAUUCUUUUUAUUAUGUAGAACAAAUAUAGAGACUAGGAAUUCGGAUAUGAUACAGGACACAUUUACAGAUUUGUAAGCAGGCAUGUACAAUAAAAAUAAUAUUCAAUCACAUAUCAUUUUUAAAUUUUAUAUUUAAACAUUUAAAAAAAAAAUAUUCGUUUUACACCUUUUUCAUGAGGAGUUUAAAAAUUUAUGAUAUACUUUCUAGCUCAUGUUCAAAAGAGCUAAUAAGUAAUAACAUUGAUUUACCCAUAAAUGAAUUUCCUCAAAUUCUAAACACCACAUAAUUGGUGUACCUAUUAUUAUUAUACAGAGAUGUAGUGCAGUACUGCAUUUUCAAUAAAACAGCACUACACAACAAGCUUGUAGGUCAAUUGCAGGUUGCCUAUCGAACCAGUGGCAGUCAGUGACCCUCAGUUAAAACAGGUCAGCUGGUCGUGUUAAUAGUGCAAUUUUGCAUUUUUACAAUUUAAAAUUAUUAUUAAGUGUUUAAAAAAAUUAAAUUAACACUCAUAAUGAUUAGUAUAAAAUAUAAUAUACACUAUAUAUAUAUUAAUAAUUUAUGUUGAAUUUAUUAAUAUGUAAAAAUAACAAAAUUCUAUAACAAUUGACAAUGUUAAUUCACGAGUUUAAAAUUCAUAAGAAAAAAGUGCUAAACGUUUGAUAAGUUGAGUUAGGAUAUAAAUGUAUAAAGAACUCAGACCUUAAACUUAAAACCAUCAGUAGUCUGCCUUAUCAUUUUCACCAUAAUAUAUUGAGAAUUAUUCCAAAGUUAGCUUUUUAAGCCGUGCCGUAGAAUAACAUAUUUUGAAUAGCUAUAACUUUGAAAGUUCUAUCAACAUUAGAAUUUACUAAUGUCACAUUACUUUGUUUCAUCAAAA